GGAGUAACACUGUGGCAACCUGCCCAAAAGAGGGGGAUAACACUUGGCUCCAGAUGCUAUUACCGCAAAAGCAUACUUACGGCUUGGUAACUAUGUAAAAGGUGGCUAUGCUACCGCUUUUGGAUGGGCCCGCGGCGCAUUAGCUAGUUGGUGGGGUAAAGGCUUACCAAGGCAAUGAUGCGUAGCCGAACUGAGAGGUUGAUCG
Molecule: ribosomal RNA, 205 nt
Filed under: Ligilactobacillus murinus
Lineage: Bacteria; Bacillati; Bacillota; Bacilli; Lactobacillales; Lactobacillaceae
Description: partial 16S ribosomal RNA
Rfam family: Bacterial small subunit ribosomal RNA
Source: RNAcentral